Amaranthus tricolor (Joseph's coat) is the source of this 1094-nucleotide long non-coding RNA. RefSeq lists it as uncharacterized. The record is from RefSeq and is a predicted model, not a curated record. Lineage: Eukaryota; Viridiplantae; Streptophyta; Magnoliopsida; Caryophyllales; Amaranthaceae. The transcript is spliced from 2 exons.
CCCUUAGGGUGUGUUUGGUUGGUUAUUGGAAUGGGUAUGAAAUGGUAUGAGAACCCAUUCUAAUGUUUGGUUGUCUAAUUUUACAUUGGGUUCUCAUACCAAAAGGUUUCCCAUACCCUUAUUUUCCCUAAUAUCCCAUACCCUCCUAACCCCUAAAGUUUCAAUAUCCAUUCCUCCCAUAUACAAACCCUAAUUCCUAAUCUUUGCUGCUCUUCAAUCUUCAUCUCCACGAGUUCUUCUCUGAUUCUCCUUCAAUCUUUUGGAUCUUCCUGCUCCUGCUCCUGCUCUUCAAUCUUCCUCCGUACUCUCUUCUUCCUCCGUUCGCUGAAACUCAAUUUUCCAAAGAAAUGAAAACAACCCAGGAAUUUCAAGCAAUUUCUCAAGAUUUCUGAAUGAACCAAUAAAUUUUCGAUCAUAAACAGGAAGAUUAAGGAAAAACGCAAGCACAGAAGCUCCAGAAGCAAUGAAAAAGUAAGUCGGUAUUUUCAGAGAUUGUGAAACUUCAACAGCAGAAUAGCAGAAAAAAUCAAUAAUAAAUGCAGAUAUAGUACAAGUUUCGGAAACAGAUUGAAUCGAUUGAAGAAGAGUAGGGUUGUUAUUACGAAGAGUUUCGAACAUAACUUGUUCUUCGUCGGCGUAAUUUGAGAGAUUUCGAAGAAGAAGAGGAACAGGAGGAUGAGAAAUGAAAGUUAUGGAUGGAAAAGAGGAAGAAACAGAAGAGAUGUAAGAAGAAUAAGUGUCGGAAUUGUUGAAGGGAGAGUUGGGAUGAUGAUAGUAAUGGAGGUGGGCGAAGAAGAUUUGGUUAACAAAAGUUUGCCAAGUUCAACCAUGGAGAUUAAGUGGCCUAUGAUGGUGCUGGGUACAUCACUAUUUUAUCCUCCAUUGUUAUGAAAUUCAAGCUUUGAAGAAAUAAAUGGAGGAUUUAGUUUGAUUGGUGAACUUUUUGAACCAUGAAAUAAUUAAAUGAUUGUAUUGUGGGUGUGUAUUUAUUUAAUUUUCUCUUAGGAGUAAAAACGAAAAAGACUUGAAAUUGAAACAACCAAAUAUGUGUCAAGGAUUGUGUGAUUUAUACAGUAUUAGUAUUUCCUUAGUCA